AGUGAACGCUGGCGGUAGGCCUAACACAUGCAAGUCGAACGGCAGCACAGUAAGAGCUUGCUCUUACGGGUGGCGAGUGGCGGACGGGUGAGGAAUACAUCGGAAUCUACUUUUUCGUGGGGGAUAACGUAGGGAAACUUACGCUAAUACCGCAUACGACCUACGGGUGAAAGCAGGGGAUCUUCGGACCUUGCGCGAUUGAAUGAGCCGCUGUCGGAUUAGCUAGUUGGCGGGGUAAAGGCACACCAAGGCGACGAUCCGUAGCUGGUCUGAGAGGAUGAUCAGCCAACCUGGACCUGAGACCCGUUCCGGCCUCUUCCGGGAGGCAGCAGUGGGGAAUAUUCGCCAUUGGGCGCAAGCCUGCUCCAGCCCUCCCGCGUGGGUGAAGAAGGCCUUCGGGUUGUAAAGCCCUUUUGUUGGGAAAGAAAAGCAGCAGGUUAAUACCCCGCUGUUCUGACGGUCCCCAAAGAAUAAGCACCGGCAAACUUCGU
RNAcentral lists this ribosomal RNA (491 nucleotides) under uncultured bacterium. RNAcentral describes it as "partial 16S ribosomal RNA". It matches the Rfam family "Bacterial small subunit ribosomal RNA", at positions 29 to 506 of the family's 1533-position model. The record is from RNAcentral.